Molecule: ribosomal RNA, 301 nt
Filed under: uncultured bacterium
Lineage: Bacteria
Description: partial 16S ribosomal RNA
Rfam family: Bacterial small subunit ribosomal RNA
Source: RNAcentral
CAGUCGCCGCGGUAAUACGUAGGUGGCAAGCGUUGUCCGGAAUUAUUGGGCGUAAAGGGCUCGCAGGCGGUUUCUUAAGUCUGAUGUGAAAGCCUCCGGCUCAACCGGGGAGGGUCAUUGGAAACUGGGAAACUUGAGUGCAGAAGAGGAGAGUGGAAUUCCACGUGUAGCGGUGAAAUGCGUAGAGAUGUGGAGGAACACCAGUGGCGAAGGCGACUCUCUGGUCUGUAACUGACGCUGAGGAGCGAAAGCGUGGGGAGCGAACAGGAUUAGAUACCCCUGUAGUCCAUGUCUCUUAUAC